CAAGAAUAACAUGACAGGUACGUAACUGUCAAAUAAGCAUCGUCCAAAGAAGAAAAAAACCUUAAAAGAGACUUUUGGUAUUAGGAACGAAUUUAAAAGAUAUUGUGUCACGAUCUAUACUUUCGACAUAUCUAAAUAUUCAGCGCUUACAAUAUAAUAACUUAGUGCCGUUCAAAUGUUUCCCGCAAUAUUAAAAAAAAAUUGCCGC
Molecule: long non-coding RNA, 208 nt
Filed under: Mytilus galloprovincialis (Mediterranean mussel)
Lineage: Eukaryota; Metazoa; Mollusca; Bivalvia; Mytilida; Mytilidae
Source: RNAcentral